This 398-nucleotide long non-coding RNA is filed under the name Salvator merianae (Argentine black and white tegu). RNAcentral's name for it is "lncRNA (ENSSMRG00000008831.1)". The record is from RNAcentral. Lineage: Eukaryota; Metazoa; Chordata; Lepidosauria; Squamata; Teiidae.
UUCAGAACACUAUUUCAAAGAAAUGUUUCAUCACCACGGUUUACUGUAGUUAAAUCUGAAGAAAUACAGUAUUCUCAGGGAACUCAUUUCCAUCAAGCUAGGAAUUCCGUGGGCUUAAUACCAAGGUGGAGGAUUCCACACGAAAGCACCUGCAACAAACGACCUGCACUAAACGACGGGUUACCCCGGAAGAGGCACAGCAAUUAUCCUCUCCAAGCUGCAGUCGGCUUUCCUUGAAGCUUCCAUUAAAUCAGAGCUCCACUUUAACGGGGGGCAGGACGGCGGCCCGGUGUUCAGAAGCGUGCAUAACAAGGUGAACAGAGGGUUUCUGAUAUCUUGCCCCCUUGGGUUGCGGAGUUAAUUGGCAGCGACCGUGAUCCCGCCGUUGCCUCUCCGUC